GACGAACGCUGGCGGCGUGCUUAACACAUGCAAGUCGAACGGAAAGGCCCUGCUUUUGUGGGUUGCUCGUUUGGCGAACGGGUGAGUAACACGUGAGUAACCUGCCCUUGACUUUGGGAUAACUUCAGGAGACUGGGGCUAAUACCGGAUAGGAUCUCUUGCUGCACGGUGGGGGUUGGAAAGUUACGGCGGUUGGGGCUGGUCUCGCGGCUUAUCCGCUUGUUGGUGGGGUAGUGGCUUACCAAGGCUUUGACGGAUAGCCGGCAUGAGAGGGUAGCCGGCCACCUUGGGACUGCGGUACGGACCAGACUCCAACGGGACGCAGCAGUGGGGAAUAUUGCGCAAUGGGCGGAAGCCUGAUGCAGCAACGCCGCGUGCGGGAUAACGGCCUUCGAGUUGUAAACCGCUUUCGCCUGUGACGAAGCGUGAGUGACGGUAAUGGGUAAAAAAGCACCGGCUAACUACGUG
This 468-nucleotide ribosomal RNA is filed under the name uncultured bacterium. RNAcentral's name for it is "partial 16S ribosomal RNA". It matches the Rfam family "Bacterial small subunit ribosomal RNA", at positions 28 to 507 of the family's 1533-position model. The record is from RNAcentral.